This 274-nucleotide ribosomal RNA is filed under the name uncultured bacterium. RNAcentral's name for it is "partial 16S ribosomal RNA". It matches the Rfam family "Bacterial small subunit ribosomal RNA", at positions 523 to 796 of the family's 1533-position model. The record is from RNAcentral.
AUACAGAGGGUGCGAGCGUUAAUCGGAAUUACUGGGCGUAAAGCGCGCGUAGGCGGUCUAUUAAGUCAGAUGUGAAAUCCCAGGGCUCAACCUUGGAACUGCAUCUGAUACUGGUAGACUAGAGUUUUGGAGAGGGAAGUAGAAUUUCAGGUGUAGCGGUGAAAUGCAUAGAGAGCUGAAGGAAUACCAGUGGCGAAGGCGACUUCCUGGCCAAAAACUGACGCUGAGGUGCGAAAGCGUGGGUAGCAAACGGGAUUAGAAACCCUAGUAGUCC